CGGAACGUAGCGCAGCUGGUAGCGCGUCUGCUUUGGGAGCAGAAUGUCGCAGGUUCAAAUCCUGUCGUUCCGA
This 73-nucleotide transfer RNA is filed under the name Spirochaetaceae bacterium. RNAcentral describes it as "tRNA-Pro". It matches the Rfam family "tRNA". From Rfam's summary of the family: Transfer RNA (tRNA) molecules are approximately 80 nucleotides in length. Their secondary structure includes four short double-helical elements and three loops (D, anti-codon, and T loops). The record is from RNAcentral. RNAcentral also lists the same sequence under 2 other names. Lineage: Bacteria; Pseudomonadati; Spirochaetota; Spirochaetia; Spirochaetales; Spirochaetaceae.